GAAUGGUCGGGAUAGCUCAGCCGGUAAGCAGAGGACUGAAAAUC
Molecule: transfer RNA, 44 nt
Filed under: Phyla incisa
Lineage: Eukaryota; Viridiplantae; Streptophyta; Magnoliopsida; Lamiales; Verbenaceae
Description: partial tRNA-Phe
Source: RNAcentral